Molecule: ribosomal RNA, 501 nt
Filed under: uncultured Glomeromycotina
Lineage: Eukaryota; Fungi; Glomeromycota
Description: partial small subunit ribosomal RNA
Rfam family: Eukaryotic small subunit ribosomal RNA
Source: RNAcentral
CCAAUAGCGUAUAUUAAAGUUGUUGCAGUUAAAAAGCUCGUAGUUGAAUUUCGGGAUCAAUAUGUCGGUCGUGCCUUCGGUACGUACUGGUAUCAUUGGUCUCUCCUUUCUGACGAACCAUGAUGUCAUUAAUUUGGUGUUAUGGGGAGUUAGGACUGUUACUUUGAAAAAAAUUAGAGUGUUUAAAGCAGGCUUUAGCUUGAAUACAUUAGCAUGGAAUAAUGAAAUAGGACGUUCGAACCUAUUUUGUUGGUUUCUAGGAUCAACGUAAUGAGUAAUAGGGAUAGUUGGGGGCAUUAGUAUUCAAUUGUCAGAGGUGAAAUUCUUGGAUUUAUUGAAGACUAACUACUGCGAAAGCAUUUGCCAGGGAUGUUUUCAUUAAUCAAGAACGAAAGUUAGGGGAUCGAAGACGAUCAGAUACCGUCGUAGUCUUAACCAUAAACUAUGCCGACUAGGGAUCGGAUGAUGUUAAUUUUUUAAUGACUCAUUCGGCGCCUUACG